Molecule: ribosomal RNA, 348 nt
Filed under: uncultured bacterium
Lineage: Bacteria
Description: partial 16S ribosomal RNA
Rfam family: Bacterial small subunit ribosomal RNA
Source: RNAcentral
GCUACGGGUGGCAGCAGGGGGGAAUAUUGGGCAAUGGGCGCAAGCCUGACCCAGCAACGCCGCGUGAAGGAAGAAGGCUUUCGGGUUGUAAACUGCGUUUAAGAGGGAAGAGCAGAAGACGGGACCGCUUGAAUAAGCCACGGCUAACUACGGGCCAGCAGCCGCGGUAAUACGGAGGUGGCAAGCGGUGUCCGGAUUUACUGGGUGUAAAGGGCGUGCAGCCGGGAAGCAAAGUCAGAUGUGAAAUCCCGCGGCUCAACCGCGGAACUGCAUUUGAAACUGUUUUUCUUUAGUACCGGAGAUGUCCUCGGCCUUCCUUGUGUAGCGGUGAACUGCGUCGAUAUCAGG